GCUUGUCUCAAAGAUUAAGCCAUGCAUGUCUAAGUACAAGCCUCAGUAAGGUGAAACCGCGAAUGGCUCAUUAAAUCACACCUAAUCUACUGGAAAGUUACUAGUUACUUGGAUAACUGAGGUAAUUCUUGAGCUAAUACAUGCGAAAAGUCCUGACUUCUUCGUGAGGGAGGGAUGUAUUUAUUAGAUACAAUCAAACGCACCAACAUAAAACCUUGGUGAUUCAUAAUAACUGUUCGGAUCGUAUGGCUUUUUGCCGACGACAGAUCAUUCAAAUUUCUGCCCUAUCAGCUUUCGACGGUACUGUAGUGGACUACCGUGGCAUUAACGGGUGACGGAGAAUUAGGGUUCGAUUCCGGAGAGGGAGCCUGAGAAAUGGCUACCACAUCCAAGGAAGGCAGCAGG
Molecule: ribosomal RNA, 405 nt
Filed under: uncultured eukaryote
Lineage: Eukaryota
Description: partial small subunit ribosomal RNA
Rfam family: Eukaryotic small subunit ribosomal RNA
Source: RNAcentral